UCUCCUGGAAACGGGUGGUAAUACCGGAUGCUCCGCUCCAUCGCAUGGUGGGGUGGGAAAUGCUUUUGCGGCAUGGGAUGGGGUCGCGUCCUAUCAGCUUGUUGGCGGGGUGAUGGCCCACCAAGGCGUUGACGGGUAGCCGGCCUGAGAGGGUGACCGGCCACAUUGGGACUGAGAUACGGCCCAGACUCCUACGGGAGGCAGCAGUGGGGAAUAUUGCACAAUGGGCGCAAGCCUGAUGCAGCGACGCCGCGUGCGGGAUGGAGGCCUUCGGGUUGUAAACCGCUUUUGUUCAAGGGCAAGGCACGGUUUCGGCCGUGUUGAGUGGAUUGUUCGAAUAAGCACCGGCUAACUACGUGCCAGCAGCCGCGGUAAUACGUAGGGUGCGAGCGUUAUCCGGAUUUAUUGGGCGUAAAGGGCUCGUAGGCGGUUCGUCGCGUCCGGUGUGAAAGUCCAUCGCCUAACGGUGGAUCUGCGCCGGGUACGGGCGGGCUGGAGUGCGGUAGGGGAGACUGGAAUUCCCGGUGUAACGGUGGAAUGUGUAGAUAUCGGAAAGAACACCA
RNAcentral lists this ribosomal RNA (563 nucleotides) under Bifidobacterium animalis subsp. lactis. RNAcentral describes it as "bacterial SSU rRNA". It matches the Rfam family "Bacterial small subunit ribosomal RNA", at positions 146 to 711 of the family's 1533-position model. The record is from RNAcentral. Lineage: Bacteria; Bacillati; Actinomycetota; Actinomycetes; Bifidobacteriales; Bifidobacteriaceae.